Molecule: long non-coding RNA, 298 nt
Filed under: Ananas comosus (pineapple)
Lineage: Eukaryota; Viridiplantae; Streptophyta; Magnoliopsida; Poales; Bromeliaceae
Description: long non-coding RNA (ACOM_LNC014951)
Source: RNAcentral
CUAAAAUUCCAGACUUAUCCAAUUUUCAGCAUUUUUCAUUUCUGCUCCGUUUUUGCUCGUUUGACCUUCGAUUCUUUUCAAAUCGAACCGAGACUCUCCAAACAUAUUUUCGAGCAUAUUUUCAUCAUCUUUUCACACGCGCUAAUGCCGGAUUUAAUUCUUGGUCCAACAUAGCCUUUCGGGUUCCGUUUUCGCGCCUACGCACACCGAAACGCCCGAAUGCUCCCGAACUUCAUUGAACUUCACCGGAACCAUUCAAAUGGCUUUCCAACUAAAUGUACACUGUAACUUCAUAAUU